Long non-coding RNA from Scophthalmus maximus (turbot), 809 nucleotides. RefSeq lists it as uncharacterized. The record is from RefSeq and is a predicted model, not a curated record. NCBI's taxonomy places the organism in Eukaryota, Metazoa, Chordata, Actinopteri, Pleuronectiformes, Scophthalmidae. The transcript has 2 exons.
GGAGGAAGGCUGCAAUGUACAGAAGACGAGUACUGUUGUUCCCUUUUUCUAUGUCAAACCUCCAGAGGUCAGUGUGGCCUCGGUCCCACGUGACGGCUGUGCAGGUGCAGCAGCGUGGAUGGAGCCAUCAGCAGAUUCCGGGAGGAAGCAGUAGCGAGCAGGGGGCCGGGCAGAGACACAGGAAGAGAAAAGACGGCAAGAGCUGCAGGGACAAGAUUAAUGUCUUCAGAAGGAAGCAGUGUGCUGAGAGAGACGGACUAACUAAGACGGUGGUGUUGUUCUAAUCAUUGGACAAUGUGAUGGAGAAAUAUUACGAGAAUGUCUUUUAGUCACAGCAGAUUAGUCAGAGCAUGCUGGGAAUAUGUCUCUCCCCUCUGAAGGAGUAAAGCAGUGGCUGACCACAGGAAUGCUGGAUUUGAUCUUGGUUAUAUUUGUUCUGCACACCAGAGUAUGUAUAUGAAAUAACCUAUCGUCAUAUAUCACAUAUUGUGCUGCUACGUCAGCUCUUUGAUGCCACCAGGCUUUUUUCAGGAUACUCCAUCUGUAGGCCAUCUGUUUUCAUAUUCUGCAUGAAAUAUAAAUGAAAUAUAAAGAACAGUGGACAGUAUUAUGUAUCUUUCCAUAUCACUUUUAGCCUUUUAGAAUUUUAGCGGAUGUAUGAUCACACAGGAUUCCUUUUUAACUUUUUAUUUGUCCAUGAUAUUAGAGAUGAACAGAUUUCUGUGCUGCUCUCUGUUCUCUCUCGUAUAAGGCAUCCACCAAUAACCUGGAACCAGGGCAUGUUUUCAUUAAAAAUAAUGCAGAAUCAA